UAUUAAAUAUCUUAAUUUUAAAGAAUUGAAUUUUUAAUUCAAAAAUAAUAAUAAUAAUUAUUUUUAAUAA
RNAcentral lists this transfer RNA (70 nucleotides) under Centistes sp. Its description in RNAcentral is "tRNA-Lys". Lineage: Eukaryota; Metazoa; Arthropoda; Insecta; Hymenoptera; Braconidae. The record is from RNAcentral.